ACGAGAAGACCCCAUGGAGCUUCAAACCCAAUUACACCCCUAACCCCUAUAACUACUUAACCCUUAGGAUUCUGUAUUAUUGGUUUUAGGUUGGGGCGACCACGGAGUACAACAAAACCUCCACAAUGAACGGAACUACUUCCUCAUCUGAGAGCUACACCUCUAAGAAUUAAAAUAUUAACAUAAAAUGAUCCAUUUUUGAUCAAUGAACCAAGUUACCCUGGGGAUAACAGCGCAAUCCAUUUCAAGAGCCCCUAUCGACAAAUGGGUUUACGACCUCGAUGUUGGAUCAGGGUAUCCUGGUGGUGCAGCAGCUACUAAAGGUUCGUUUGUUCAACGAUCAAAACCCU
This 350-nucleotide ribosomal RNA is filed under the name Mantidactylus katae. RNAcentral describes it as "partial 16S ribosomal RNA". It matches the Rfam family "Bacterial large subunit ribosomal RNA", at positions 2080 to 2597 of the family's 2925-position model. Lineage: Eukaryota; Metazoa; Chordata; Amphibia; Anura; Mantellidae. The record is from RNAcentral.